RNAcentral lists this transfer RNA (84 nucleotides) under Microthamnion kuetzingianum. Its description in RNAcentral is "tRNA-Ile". It matches the Rfam family "tRNA". From Rfam's summary of the family: Transfer RNA (tRNA) molecules are approximately 80 nucleotides in length. Lineage: Eukaryota; Viridiplantae; Chlorophyta; Trebouxiophyceae; Microthamniales; Microthamniaceae. The record is from RNAcentral.
GCAUGCAUGGCUGAGCGGUUGAAAGCAGCAGACUCAUAAUCUGUUUCCCUUUAGGGCACACAGGUUCAAAUCCUGUUGCAUGCA